UACGUAGGGGGCAAGCGUUGUCCGGAAUCAUUGGGCGUAAAGAGCGCGUAGGCGGCCCAGUAAGUCCGCUCUGAAAGUCAGGGGCUCAACCCCUGGAUGCGGGUGGAUACUGCUGGGCUAGAGUCCGGAAGAGGUGAGUGGAAUUCCUGGUGUAGCGGUGAAAUGCGCAGAUAUCAGGAGGAACACCGGUGGCGAAGGCGGUUCUCUGGGAAUGUACUGACGCUGAGGAGCGAAAGUGUGGGGAGCGAACAGG
RNAcentral lists this ribosomal RNA (253 nucleotides) under uncultured bacterium. RNAcentral's name for it is "partial 16S ribosomal RNA". It matches the Rfam family "Bacterial small subunit ribosomal RNA", at positions 524 to 776 of the family's 1533-position model. The record is from RNAcentral.